This is a non-coding RNA of Sphaerodactylus townsendi, 363 nucleotides long. RefSeq annotates it as small Cajal body-specific RNA 2. The record is from RefSeq and is a predicted model, not a curated record. The transcript has a single exon. NCBI's taxonomy places the organism in Eukaryota, Metazoa, Chordata, Lepidosauria, Squamata, Sphaerodactylidae.
GUGCGAGUGAGUGAGGCGGGUGGCGGCUUCGGGGGUGUUUGUUGGUGUUCUGUUUGGGGUCUUCUGGGCUUUGUGAAGUGAGUGGGGGCGAGUGAGUGAGUGAGAGCGCGGCGUGAAUGUCCCUGAGCUUGCGACGCUUUUCUUACACAUUGAUCUUAUUUGAUCGGGCUGGGAGGGCACCGCCUCCCCCCGGCCUGAAAUGAGAAAACGCCUUUGCUGUGAAGCCUUCGGGCGGUGUGCAGCGAAACUGGUUGCAGGCGGCGCUUAUCCGGAGAUGAUGAGUUGAUCAGAUAGAUGAGGCUGAAUGAUGGAGGGCGUGCCCCUUCCUCUUGGCCAGUGUGUACUGAGGCGAUUCUGAUCCGG